CGAAACAUCGAUGGUAAACUCUACGUUUACGGACGAAAUCUCGAUUUUUCGGAACAUCGAUAUAUCGCUUGCUUCCCUGUGAAAUGUCAAUACUUGGACGCGCCCAUCGAGCGACAGGGUAACAGGGAUCCAGAGGACAAGACUACAAUAAUUACAGCAUGGACAGAGGCAUUCAGUCAGUCAUUCUUCUUGUGCUCCAUAUGUGGGUGGAACAGGAAGAAAUUCGAAUAACUGGUACAAUGGGAUGCCUCCUCUGCCGUGCAGCUCACCAUGCGGCAGGAAGCACACUCUUAAUCUGAGACUUCCGUAACACCCAAUUGUGCGCCACUGUCGGCACGGGAGGAAUGGCAGAGGGCAGACGCAAGUGGGGCGAGCCGUCGACGAAGGUCCGUCGCAACAGUGAGAUGGCCGAGAAAAAUGAUUCGGCUGAUGGAGGGACGCAUUUUCACCACCUCCCAGAUGAAGUUAUGAUCAGUAUAUUUUCCUCCUUGAGCUUCAGCGACCUCGUAGACAUCGUGCAGAAUGUUUGUGUGCGCUGGAGGAGGCUGUCGCAAGACCCGAUGCUCUGGCUCGACAAAGAGUACGUCGUCACAGCGAGGAAUAUACGCGCAACGAAGUUGUGGCUUUUCCCUUCACACCCAGUGAAAGAGUGGAGCUGCUCUGGAGUGGUCUGCACAGAGUGUGUCAACUGCAAAUUUGAAGGGAAGGACGAAGAGAUUCUGCGGGCAGCGCCAACCAUGCCGCAGCUGCGAACAUUGACACUGAUGCGCGGCGUUAAACCCUAUAUCCUGCAAAAGGUUUGCGCAAGUUGUCCUAACCUCACGAGCCUACAGAUUGAUAGCCGACAGGAGAUGACUUACUCACUUAUGAAGUACGUAUUCGAGAAGUGUCCGAAGAUACAGAAGCUGACACUGGGGAGCAGCCUCCUGUCGGAUGGACAGUACGUGCAACUGCUGUCCAACCUGCACCACCUGAGCAGCGUGACCAGCCUGGGGCUGCGCCCCGACCUCCACAGCCUGGGGAUGCGCACGACCUUCAGCCCUACGGGAUUCGUAAAGCUGCGCGUCCUGGCCAAUUCCUGUCCCCAGCUGCAGGAGAUACACAUCGACUCGAGCUGUUACACUGUGUUCGACUUGGAAUACUUCCUGAAGGUGAAGAGGCACAUCCUCACUUCUGCCACACUGCCCUGGAUGAUGGAGGAAGUUCAGGAAACGAGGUGUACUGUGCAGCUGCUGAGAAAGUAUAACACUUCACUUAAAAAACUGCGGCUGGUCAAUUUUAAUGUGACAAACGAGUUGGAUGCCGAGCGUCAUGAAACCGCGGCGUUUCGAGCCCUCGGUGAGCUACACACUCUGGAGGAGCUGUGCAUUGAGCGCCUCUUCCCACGUGUACCACUUACAGUAUCUUACGCAUUUCAGCCCGGAUGUCUGACACAGCUCCGACGGCUGCAGCUGCCGUUUGCCAGUGACCUCGAGGACGACACGGUGCUUGCCAUUUCAGAGGGCUGUCCUAAUUUGCGCGAACUGAGGUUGAGGUUUUCACUGAGAAUUACCGACAGAGCUCUGGCUAUGAUCAACCGUCUGGAACACUUGGAAAUGAUGGAAUGAAACAAGCUGAUAAGUUGACACCAGGACAGAGGACUUCAAAUUCAGAAAAUUUUCCCAGAGAACUACAGAUUGGAGCUUUCUGGGUGCCAAAGGUUGGGUGGCGCUUGCAUGGCUUUUAUAUCACAGCUACCAGCUCUGCACACAUUGGUCCUCCGGGCACUCGAUGACUUGUCUGUGCUGCA
RNAcentral lists this unclassified non-coding RNA (1789 nucleotides) under Schistocerca americana (American grasshopper). RNAcentral's name for it is "uncharacterized LOC124552613, transcript variant X2". Lineage: Eukaryota; Metazoa; Arthropoda; Insecta; Orthoptera; Acrididae. The record is from RNAcentral.